Molecule: long non-coding RNA, 469 nt
Organism: Neogale vison (American mink)
Lineage: Eukaryota; Metazoa; Chordata; Mammalia; Carnivora; Mustelidae
Exons: 3
Source: RefSeq, a predicted model, not a curated record
CGGCCGGAGCGGAGCGGAGUGCGCACGCCGGGGUGGCGGGACUUCGGCAAGACCAACUUUCCGAAUCUUCUCGAUUCCCAGCCUGCGUUCUCUCGCCCGACUCUAAUUGUGUAAGUUUCACGAAGCAACAGCUUUGGGCUCCAGGAAAGCGCAGGAAAAUCAGAGAGGAAGGAAGCGCGCAGGUCGGCAUCGCCUCCAAAGACCACCCGCCGCCACAUUUGUCCCCCUCAAAACAGCAACAAAACCCUUAAGACGAAUAUGAAGCAAAUGUAGGUUCCCGCAGCUUCCGAAGCCUUUCAGAGGAAGCCGAGCCCGGCUCCCCCGCAGCCUCCUGGCCCCCACAGCACCGACUCCUCCUCCUCGGUUACUCUGUGAGUGCCGACCCCCACCUUUUUUGUUCUUAAGGCCAUUCCUCCUUCUCCCCCUGCCCCCAGCCUCUCUCCAACACACCAGCACGAUUUUCCUAGGU